Molecule: ribosomal RNA, 433 nt
Filed under: Stegophiura nodosa
Lineage: Eukaryota; Metazoa; Echinodermata; Ophiuroidea; Amphilepidida; Ophiuridae
Description: SSU rRNA
Rfam family: Eukaryotic small subunit ribosomal RNA
Source: RNAcentral
ACCACCAGGAGUGGAGCCUGCGGCUUAAUUUGACUCAACACGGGAAAACUCACCCGGCCCGGACACAGUAAGGAUUGACAGAUUGAGAGCUCUUUCUUGAUUCUGUGGGUGGUGGUGCAUGGCCGUUCUUAGUUGGUGGAGCGAUUUGUCUGGUUAAUUCCGAUAACGAACGAGACUCUGGCUUGCUAAAUAGUUGCGCCACCCGCCGUGGUGGGCGACAACUUCUUAGAGGGACUAGUGGCGUUUAGCGACGCGAGAUUGAGCAAUAACAGGUCUGCGAUGCCCUUAGAUGUUCGGGGCCGCACGCGCGCUACACUGAAGGAAUGAGUGUGGGUCUAGCCNUGGCCGGAAGGUCUGGGUAAUCCGUUGAACCUCUUCGUGACUGGAUAGGGAAUGUAAUUAUUCCCUUGACGAGGAAUUCCAUCUAAGCGCC